AUUGAACGCUGGCGGAAUGCUUUACACAUGCAAGUCGAGCGGCGGCACGGGGGCAACCCUGGUGGCGAGCGGCGAACGGGUGAGUAAUACAUCGGAACAUGCCCAGUCGUGGGGGAUAACACUUCGAAAGAAGUGCUAAUACCGCAUACGUCCUGAGGGAGAAAGCGGGGGAUCGCAAGACCUCGCGCGAUUGGAGUGGCCGAUGUCAGAUUAGCUAGUUGGUGGGGUAAAGGCCUACCAAGGCAACGAUCUGUAGCUGGUCUGAGAGGAUGAUCAGCCACACUGGGACUGAGACACGGCCCAGACUCCUACGGGAGGCAGCAGUGGGGAAUUUUGGACAAUGGGGGCAACCCUGAUCCAGCCAUUCCGCGUGAGUGAAGAAGGCCUUCGGGUUGUAAAGCUCUUUCGGCAGGAACGAAACGGCGAGCUCUAACAUAGCUUGCUAAUGACGGUACCUGAAGAAGAAGCACCGGCUAACUACGUG
This 484-nucleotide ribosomal RNA is filed under the name uncultured bacterium. RNAcentral's name for it is "partial 16S ribosomal RNA". It matches the Rfam family "Bacterial small subunit ribosomal RNA", at positions 30 to 507 of the family's 1533-position model. The record is from RNAcentral.